RNAcentral lists this ribosomal RNA (481 nucleotides) under uncultured bacterium. RNAcentral describes it as "partial 16S ribosomal RNA". It matches the Rfam family "Bacterial small subunit ribosomal RNA", at positions 28 to 507 of the family's 1533-position model. The record is from RNAcentral.
GACGAACGUUGGCGGCGUGCUUAAUACAUGCAAGUCAACUGAAGCAGUGGUAGCAAUAUCGCUGUGGAGGUGGCGCACGGGUGAGUAACACGUAGGUAAUCUGCCUUCAGGUCUGGCAUAACUCCGUGAAACCGGGGCUAAUAGCAGAUGAUGCAGCGGCUCGACAUCGAGACAGUUGUUAAAGCUAUGUCGCCUGAAGAUGAGCCUGCGUCUGAUUAGCUAGUUGGCUGGGUAACGGCCCACCAAGGCAACGAUCAGUAGCUGGUCUGAGAGGAUGAUCAGCAACACUGAAACUGAGACACGGUCCAGACUCGUACGGGAGGCAGCAGUAAGGAAUAUUGCUCAAUGGGAGAAAUACUGAAGCAGCAACGCCGCGUGAGGGACGAAGGGCUUUUGCUUGUAAACCUCUGUAGUGAGAGAAAAAAAUCCCAAUCUUUGGGACAUGAUGGUAUCUCAAAAGUAAGCCCCGGCUAACUACGUG